UACGUAGGGUGCGAGCGUUGUCCGGAAUUAUUGGGCGUAAAGAGCUUGUAGGUGGUUUGUCGCGUCUGCUGUGAAAAUCCGAGGCUCAACCUCGGACUUGCAGUGGGUACGGGCAGACUAGAGUGUGGUAGGGGAGACUGGAAUUCCUGGUGUAGCGGUGAAAUGCGCAGAUAUCAGGAGGAACACCGGUGGCGAAGGCGGGUCUCUGGGCCCGAUACUGACGUGAGGAGCGAAAGCGUGGGGAGCGAACAGG
Molecule: ribosomal RNA, 253 nt
Filed under: uncultured bacterium
Lineage: Bacteria
Description: partial 16S ribosomal RNA
Rfam family: Bacterial small subunit ribosomal RNA
Source: RNAcentral